AACGCGAAGAACCUUACCCAGACUUGACAUCGAUCGUAAGCUCUAGAAAUAGGGCCCUCCCCCACAAGGGGACGUGAAGACACUUGUUGCAUGGCUGUCGUCAGCUCGUGCCGUGAGGUGUACGGUUAAGUCCGCCAACGAGCGCAACCCUCGUUCUGUGUUACCAGCGGGAAAGCCGGGAACUCACAGGAGACCGCCGGUGUAAGCCGGAGGAAGGUGGGGAUGACGUCAAGUCAGCAUGGCAGUUACGUCUGGGGCUUCACACAUGCUACAAUGGGCGCACCAAAGGGCAGCAAUACCGCGAGGUGGAGCAAAUCCCAAAAAUACGCCCCCAGUUCAGAUUGCAGUCUGCAACUCGACUGCAUGAAGGCGGAAUCGCUAGUAAACGCAGGUCAGCUAUACUGCGUUGAAUACGUUCCCGGGCCUUGUACACACCGAGACGAC
RNAcentral lists this ribosomal RNA (444 nucleotides) under uncultured bacterium. RNAcentral's name for it is "bacterial SSU rRNA". It matches the Rfam family "Bacterial small subunit ribosomal RNA", at positions 958 to 1398 of the family's 1533-position model. The record is from RNAcentral.